RNAcentral lists this ribosomal RNA (1141 nucleotides) under Escherichia coli. RNAcentral's name for it is "partial 23S ribosomal RNA". It matches the Rfam family "Bacterial large subunit ribosomal RNA", at positions 1 to 1183 of the family's 2925-position model. The record is from RNAcentral. Lineage: Bacteria; Pseudomonadati; Pseudomonadota; Gammaproteobacteria; Enterobacterales; Enterobacteriaceae.
GUUAAGCGACUAAGCGUACACGGUGGAUGCCCUGGCAGUCAGAGGCGAUGAAGGACGUGCUAAUCUGCGAUAAGCGUCGGUAAGGUGAUAUGAACCGUUAUAACCGGCGAUUUCCGAAUGGGGAAACCCAGUGUGUUUCGACACACUAUCAUUAACUGAAUCCAUAGGUUAAUGAGGCGAACCGGGGGAACUGAAACAUCUAAGUACCCCGAGGAAAAGAAAUCAACCGAGAUUCCCCCAGUAGCGGCGAGCGAACGGGGAGCAGCCCAGAGUCUGAAUCAGUGUGUGUGUUAGUGGAAGCGUCUGGAAAGGCGCGCGAUACAGGGUGACAGCCCCGUACACAAAAAUGCACAUACUGUGAGCUCGAUGAGUAGGGCGGGACACGUGGUAUCCUGUCUGAAUAUGGGGGGACCAUCCUCCAAGGCUAAAUACUCCUGACUGACCGAUAGUGAACCAGUACCGUGAGGGAAAGGCGAAAAGAACCCCGGCGAGGGGAGUGAAAAAGAACCUGAAACCGUGUACGUACAAGCAGUGGGAGCACGCUUAGGCGUGUGACUGCGUACCUUUUGUAUAAUGGGUCAGCGACUUAUAUUCUGUAGCAAGGUUAACCGAAUAGGGGAGCCGAAGGGAAACCGAGUCUUAACUGGGCGUUAAGUUGCAGGGUAUAGACCCGAAACCCGGUGAUCUAGCCAUGGGCAGGUUGAAGGUUGGGUAACACUAACUGGAGGACCGAACCGACUAAUGUUGAAAAAUUAGCGGAUGACUUGUGGCUGGGGGUGAAAGGCCAAUCAAACCGGGAGAUAGCUGGUUCUCCCCGAAAGCUAUUUAGGUAGCGCCUCGUGAAUUCAUCUCCGGGGGUAGAGCACUGUUUCGGCAAGGGGGUCAUCCCGACUUACCAACCCGAUGCAAACUGCGAAUACCGGAGAAUGUUAUCACGGGAGACACACGGCGGGUGCUAACGUCCGUCGUGAAGAGGGAAACAACCCAGACCGCCAGCUAAGGUCCCAAAGUCAUGGUUAAGUGGGAAACGAUGUGGGAAGGCCCAGACAGCCAGGAUGUUGGCUUAGAAGCAGCCAUCAUUUAAAGAAAGCGUAAUAGCUCACUGGUCGAGUCGGCCUGCGCGGAAGAUGUAACGGGGCUA